Molecule: ribosomal RNA, 181 nt
Filed under: uncultured bacterium
Lineage: Bacteria
Description: partial 16S ribosomal RNA
Rfam family: Bacterial small subunit ribosomal RNA
Source: RNAcentral
UUAUGCCCAGGGCUACACACGUCCUACAGUGGCCGUUACAAUGGGAAGCUACAUCGCGAGGUGAUGCCAAUCCUGUAAAAGCGGCCAUGGUUCGGAUUGCAGGCUGCAACUCGCCUGCAUGAAGAUGGAAUCGCUAGUAAUCACUGAUCAGCAUGCAGUGGUGAAUACGUUCCCGGGUCUU